GAUGAACGCCAGCUACAGGCUUAACACAUGCAAGUCGAGGGGGAACGACAUCGAAAGCUUGCUUUUGAUGGGCGUCGACCGGCGCACGGGUGAGUAACGCGUAUCCAACCUGCCCACCACUUGGGGAUAACCUUGCGAAAGUAAGACUAAUACCCAAUGACGUCUCUAGAAGACAUCUGAAGGAGAUUAAAGAUUUAUCGGUGAUGGAUGGGGAUGCGUCUGAUUAGCUUGUUGGCGGGGUAACGGCCCACCAAGGCGACGAUCAGUAGGGGGUCUGAGAGGAAGGUCCCCCACAUUGGGACUGAGACACGGUCCAAACUCCUACGGGAGGCAGCAGGGAGGAAUAUUGGUCAAUGGGCGAGAGCCUGAACCAGCCAAGUAGCGUGCAGGAUGACGGCCCUAUGGGUUGUAAACUGCUUUUAUAAGGGAAUAAAGUGAGUCUCGUGAGACUUUUUGCAUGUACCUUAUGAAUAAGGACCGGCUAAUUCCGUGCCAGCCGCCGCAGUAA
This 508-nucleotide ribosomal RNA is filed under the name uncultured bacterium. RNAcentral describes it as "partial 16S ribosomal RNA". It matches the Rfam family "Bacterial small subunit ribosomal RNA", at positions 28 to 523 of the family's 1533-position model. The record is from RNAcentral.